GCACUUGUAGCUCAGACGGUAGAGCGCCGCCCUGAAGAGGCGGGCGUCGGUGGUUCAAGCCCAUCCGGGUGCACCA
This 76-nucleotide transfer RNA is filed under the name Candidatus Bathyarchaeota archaeon. RNAcentral's name for it is "tRNA-Phe". It matches the Rfam family "tRNA". From Rfam's summary of the family: Transfer RNA (tRNA) molecules are approximately 80 nucleotides in length. Their secondary structure includes four short double-helical elements and three loops (D, anti-codon, and T loops). The record is from RNAcentral. Lineage: Archaea; Thermoproteati; Candidatus Bathyarchaeota.